UACGUAGGGACCGAGCGUUGUCCGGAUUCAUUGGGCGUAAAGAGCUCGUAGGCGGCCAACUAAGUCAGACGUGAAAUCCCUCGGCUUAACCGGGGAACUGCGUCUGAUACUGGAUGGCUUGAAUCCGGGAGAGGGAUGCGGAAUUCCAGGUGUAGCGGUGAAAUGCGUAGAUAUCUGGAGGAACACCGGUGGCGAAGGCGGCAUCCUGGACCGGCAUUGACGCUGAGGCGCGAAAGCGUGGGGAGCAAACAGG
This 253-nucleotide ribosomal RNA is filed under the name uncultured bacterium. RNAcentral describes it as "partial 16S ribosomal RNA". It matches the Rfam family "Bacterial small subunit ribosomal RNA", at positions 524 to 776 of the family's 1533-position model. The record is from RNAcentral.